AUUGAAGUAGCAAAAACAAUGCAUAGGAUUUAAGAUCCUAAGAUGAAAUUAUUAAAUUUCCUCCAAUA
This 68-nucleotide transfer RNA is filed under the name Upogebia bowerbankii. RNAcentral's name for it is "tRNA-Leu". It matches the Rfam family "tRNA". Rfam says of the family: Transfer RNA (tRNA) molecules are approximately 80 nucleotides in length. Their secondary structure includes four short double-helical elements and three loops (D, anti-codon, and T loops). The record is from RNAcentral. Lineage: Eukaryota; Metazoa; Arthropoda; Malacostraca; Decapoda; Upogebiidae.